RNAcentral lists this long non-coding RNA (334 nucleotides) under Androctonus crassicauda. The record is from RNAcentral. Lineage: Eukaryota; Metazoa; Arthropoda; Arachnida; Scorpiones; Buthidae.
UGAGGAGAAAAUACAAAAAUUGCAGCUUCUUUUAUUAAUUAGAUUAAUGUCACAGAAGUGUCUCAAUGAGCGCAACAGGUUUCGUUUAAUAUGUGGUAGAGUCGAGAAAGGAGCAAUAAAGUUAAUACUAUAUUCAGUGAACUUAGUAAUAGUUGACGUGACGUGUUUAGAUAAGUGCAUCAUCUCAUUGUACACCAAUAGCGCCAAGCCUUUCUUUGUUGCUGAAUUCGUGCUCUGUCUACAACAGUGAAAGAAUCUAUUUAAAGUAAAAGUGGCUAUUUGAAUAGCCAAGAAGACUUGAGAUUUCUGACACGUAAAAGAACCUCUAAUAUAC